This is a non-coding RNA of Acanthosepion pharaonis, 114 nucleotides long. Lineage: Eukaryota; Metazoa; Mollusca; Cephalopoda; Sepiida; Sepiidae. The record is from the annotation of a GenBank genome assembly.
UAUGGUUAUAUCACGUUGAAAACACUGGUUUUCGUACAAUAUCCGAAGUUAAGCAGCAUCGAGCCUGGUUAUUACUUGGAUAGGUAAUCGCAUGGAAAUACCAGGCACUGUAAG